UGUACAUGUAAUACUCUUAUCAUUGUGACUUGUCAUGCAUUUCGUAAACCUAACGAAAGUGAUCUAUGCAUGCAGUAACUUGAGUUCAGUGUCACAGUGCUGCGUCUAAAAAGCCCAAAGCUGAUAAGACUGGCGAUUGAUCCUAAAGCUGAUUUGACAGAUGAUUGCAUCAUCGCAAUAUUAAAGGUUCAAUAUACAGUCAGCGUCUCAUAAGAAUAAAUCCCAAGAUCCAAGACUUGCUUAAAAGCUUAAUUUAGAGACCAUUCUGUGCCACAAAGAAAUUGUUCAGGAAAGGGAGAAAUGGUGGAUUUGCAUUUUGGGUACAGUUCAAACAGAGUUCAAAAAGGUCAAACUCAUGGAAGAUCAGAGGGAGGACAACUGAAGAAAACUGAAAGAUACAGAAGGAAAACGAACAAGAAAAUAUAUGAAAUAAUUAUGAAAUUGGGAGGAUGUACACAAUCUUGUCUGCAUUUGACCUGUAAAGAUUUAAUUCCCAUUCUUAUUUGUAUGCUGUAAUAUCAAAUAACUUGAUUUUUCAUAAAUUUACAAUAGAGAAUACAUGACAAAUGUUAUAUGUGAUAUUUCAAUUUUGCUUUGGACACUUUCAUGUCAAAUCAUAUUUAUAAACAAGUACAUGGACUAAUUAUGUUAUUCAUUUGUACAUGUAUGCAUGUUUAACUAUUUAAUAAUUUUGUGGAAAUCUUAA
Molecule: long non-coding RNA, 706 nt
Organism: Saccostrea cuccullata (small rock oyster)
Lineage: Eukaryota; Metazoa; Mollusca; Bivalvia; Ostreida; Ostreidae
Exons: 4
Source: RefSeq, a predicted model, not a curated record